This 1055-nucleotide long non-coding RNA is filed under the name Capra hircus (goat). RNAcentral's name for it is "lncRNA (ENSCHIG00010015953.1)". The record is from RNAcentral. Lineage: Eukaryota; Metazoa; Chordata; Mammalia; Artiodactyla; Bovidae.
AUGCCUCAGGGGGUUAACCAACUCGCUCAAGAUAAUAAAGCGGGUGAAGUGAAGGCAGAGCUUCCGUCCUCCUCCCUUGGGGUCCCUUUUCUUCCUUCCCUUUCUUCCUUGAUUCCUUCCUUCCCUCCUCCCUCCCACCACCCACUUCUCCAUUUAGCAAACACACAGAGUCCACAUGACUGAGCGCCUUCACUUUCACUUUUCACUUUCAUGCACUGGGGAAGGAAAUGGCAACCCNNNNNNNNNNNNNNNNNNNNNNNNNNNNNNNNNNNNGGGAGCCUGGUAGGCUGCUGUCUAUGGGGUCGCACAGAGUCAGACACGCCUAAAGCAACUUGCCGCAGCAGUGAACACCUAACAUGCACCAAGAGCUGCGCUUGUGAACAGGGAUGGUGAGAUGGUACAGUGAGGAGCAUGAGUGCAAGAGACGAGGCCGGAAGAGUCUGCUGUGGUCAAGCCCAGCCUGGGGUCAGCGAAUCUUAUCUUGUUCUGGCCUUGCAGGGGGUCUCAUCUCUUUAGAAUGGGCAGAUAUGCCCAGACUAUUUUCAUAAAAUAUGUACAUACUUAUAUCUUCUAUAUGUAUAGUUUGUUGAUUUAUUAUUAUAUAGCUACUUGUAGUACUUGUAUUAGGUACAUAUUAAAUGUUUAUAAUCAUCUUAAAUGAAUUUUAAUGAGUCAUGUACACCAGAAUAAUACAAACAAAUGAGAACAUACAUUUCUGUAAAAACCUAGUUCAGUAGAAUUUAGCACAAUGCCUUCAUUCAAUUAAUAUGGAUUCAUCCAAGGACAACAGUAUGUUGGGGAAAGAUUCAUUGCAAAUGAGCAUCCUGAAGACCCUGCCACCUCCACCGUGCCCAUCACACAUCUGAACCCUUUCUUUCCUGCUCUGCCAUCACCACUGGUUAUGACUUUUACCUAACUGCAUGGCUUCCCUGUGGCAGUAGUAAAUAAUCUGUCUGCAAUGCAGGAGAUACGUGCUCAAUUCCUGGGUUGGGAAGAUCCCCCGAAGAAGGAAAUGGCAACCUACUCCAGUAUUCUUGCCUGGGAAAUCCCAAGGA